Long non-coding RNA from Suricata suricatta (meerkat), 750 nucleotides. RefSeq lists it as uncharacterized. The record is from RefSeq and is a predicted model, not a curated record. The transcript has 4 exons. Lineage: Eukaryota; Metazoa; Chordata; Mammalia; Carnivora; Herpestidae.
CGACAACAUGGAUGAAUCUGGAGGACAUUAUGCUGAGUGAGCUCUAGGAUGGCACAUGAGUCCAUGCUCCCACGUGUGCUCCAUGGAAUGUCGAAGGACUGUGAGAGACACUGAUGUUACUGAGAACAAAGUCUGUGAGAUCUUGGAGCCAAAUAAUGACCAGUUCCCGAAGGGGAGAUGAGCGUGUACAUGGCAGCUCCCAAAGAUUUAACGGCAAUUCACGAUAUUUUUCACUCGGAUUGUACCCCAGGAGGAAUGUGAGGAGAAAGUGUUCAGAUAGCCAAGUUACAAGUGUGCACGGAAGGAGCCGAGGCCCUUAUCACAGAUGUGGUCAUCCGAUUCAGCUUUCACAGCGGCCUCAGUGAGGUCAGAGUCCUGUCCAGUUUACAUACAAACGGAGGCCGAGGUGCAGUGACCCGAGGUCGUCAGCUGGUGCAGCUGGAGCUGGAACUCGUGACUCCUGCUUCUAAAGCCAGUCCUCCUUCCACCCCAGAGCAGCUGCUCUGAACACGAGUCCUGGGUGGUGUCAGUUAAGACUGGUGUUGACGCGCUUGAGAAUCACCCCUGACGGCUUCUGAGGAAGGUUAUGACUAAGAUUGCAGACUAGAAGCACUUCAUAAAAACACAUUCCUCCGCCUCCCCCUGAUCCUAGAAUCUGUUUUGAAGCCUGUGUUUUCUGUGAUCUAGGCUUCAUUAUCCUAGUAAUGAGGGAUGAUGGGGGAACAGUUGAUAAACAAACCCAUGAAUCAC